UGGGGAAUAUUGCACAAUGGGCGCAAGCCUGAUGCAGCCAUGCCGCGUGUGUGAAGAAGGCCUUCGGGUUGUAAAGCACUUUCAGCGAGGAGGAAGGUGGUGGACUUAAUACGUUCAUCAAUUGACGUUACUCGCAGAAGAAGCACCGGCUAACUCCGUGCCAGCAGCCGCGGUAAUACGGAGGGUGCAAGCGUUAAUCGGAAUUACUGGGCGUAAAGCGCACGCAGGCGGUUUGUUAAGUCAGAUGUGAAAUCCCCGGGCUCAACCUGGGAACUGCAUUUGAAACUGGCAAGCUAGAGUCUCGUAGAGGGGGGUAGAAUUCCAGGUGUAGCGGUGAAAUGCGUAGAGAUCUGGAGGAAUACCGGUGGCGAAGGCGGCCCCCCUGGACGAAGACUGACGCUCAGGUGCGAAAGGCGUGGGGGAGCAAAACAGGAUUAGAUACCCUGGUAGUCCACGCUGUAAACGAUGUCGAUUUUGGAGGUUGUGCCCUUGAGGCGUGGCUUCCGGAGCUAACGCGUUAAAUCGACCGCCUGGGGAGUACGGCCNCAAGGUUAAAACU
Molecule: ribosomal RNA, 559 nt
Filed under: uncultured bacterium
Lineage: Bacteria
Description: partial 16S ribosomal RNA
Rfam family: Bacterial small subunit ribosomal RNA
Source: RNAcentral